Molecule: ribosomal RNA, 464 nt
Filed under: uncultured bacterium
Lineage: Bacteria
Description: bacterial SSU rRNA
Rfam family: Bacterial small subunit ribosomal RNA
Source: RNAcentral
GACGAACGCNGGCGGCGUGCCUAAUACAUGCAAGUCGAGCGAAGUUUUUCUGGUGCUUGCACUAGAAAAACUUAGCGGCGAACGGGUGAGUAACACGUAAAGAACCUGCCUCAUAGACUGGGACAACUAUUGGAAACGAUAGCUAAUACCGGAUAACAGUAUUUCUCGCAUGAGAGAUGUUUAAAAGUUGGUUAUGCUAACACUAUGAGAUGGCUUUGCGGUGCAUUAGCUAGUUGGUGGGGUAAAGGCCCACCAAGGCGACGAUGCAUAGCCGACCUGAGAGGGUGAUCGGCCACACUGGGACUGAGACACGGCCCAGACUCCUACGGGAGGCAGCAGUAGGGAAUCUUCCGCAAUGGGCGAAAGCCUGACGGAGCAACGCCGCGUGAGUGAAGAAGGAUUUCGGUUCGUAAAGCUCUGUUGUUAGGGAAGAAUGGAUAUGUAGUAACUAUACAUAUAAGAGA